Molecule: non-coding RNA, 87 nt
Organism: Mollisiaceae sp. DMI_Dod_QoI
Lineage: Eukaryota; Fungi; Ascomycota; Leotiomycetes; Helotiales; Mollisiaceae
Source: the annotation of a GenBank genome assembly
GGUCGCUUAGCUCAGUUGGUUAGAGCGUGGUGCUAAUAUUCAUUCCUUGAAACGCCAAGGUCGCGAGUUCGACCCUCGUAGUGACCA